GCCGGGUGUGGUGGUGGGCGCCUGUAAUCCCAACUACUUGGGAGGCUGAGGCGGGAGAAUCGCUUGAACCCAGGAGGCGGAGGUUGCAGGGAGCCAAGAUCAUGCCACUGCACUCCAGCCUGGGUAACAGAGCGAGACUCUGUCUCAA
Molecule: non-coding RNA, 148 nt
Filed under: Gorilla gorilla gorilla (western lowland gorilla)
Lineage: Eukaryota; Metazoa; Chordata; Mammalia; Primates; Hominidae
Source: Rfam by way of RNAcentral